Molecule: long non-coding RNA, 1468 nt
Organism: Phacochoerus africanus (Common warthog)
Lineage: Eukaryota; Metazoa; Chordata; Mammalia; Artiodactyla; Suidae
Exons: 3
Source: RefSeq, a predicted model, not a curated record
CGCCCCUGGGCCCCCAGGGUCACAAAGGCCAACGUGGCGUUCGACGCUGCGGCUGCCAAAGACCCUGAAGUAGGCGACGUUUUGCGACACUUCGUAAAGCGAGGAGAGUGCGGUGUCAGGCAGAGUCUGCAGCGCGCUGGGCGUUCGCCGAAGCCCGCAGUGAAACAACGCGGAUUGCGCACGGUGGUUGGGCGCGGUCUGCAGAUGCUGAAAAAGCCCGAGAGCAAACAAGACCGAGUUACUCUGGGGAUGCAGGACGUUUUUCUAAUGCUUCCUCGUGGUUUUCCCAAGAAGAAUGUACUUUCGUGUUUUUCGUACUUGAUAGUAACGGUUAAAGUAAAAGAAUUAUUUAUAAAAGCCUUUGCUAAAAACCUUGCCCCAAUUUGUCUUCGCUCUAAAAGCGUGCCUUUCAGAGGGCGUCUGACUCUUAAACCUUGUGACGCGUGUGUGCUGGCGAGGGCUCUGCAAGCCUACGGUAAAGGCCGAUUACAAAACACACCUCAACCUCAUCACUGCCUGAACUGCCCGAAGACAUCUCCGUUUUCACUGACGAGUGCCACUUAAAUAUGAGAUUGAGUGCUUAGAGCCGCUGUGGAGGCGUUCUCUGCCUACCCAACGCACCCCCAGCGAUGGCUACAUCUUACGCAUGGCCAGCCUCCAGAGUAGAAUACACAGUGCAGAGAAAACUAAUUUAUCAAAGGUGUCAUGACAUGUGCCUUAUUUAGCAGGCACUCGAAGAGAACGUGGUGAUGGUGGAUGACUUAUGUUUCUUCCUAACUGCUGUGGAAAGCACUAUUGAAAAGUCUGUGUGCACUGUGAAAAUAUCUUUGGAUUGUGUCCAUUUCUGCUAAGUUCUACAUUUUCAUCGCCCUGCGGCACUGUGAAGACGUGGCACUGAACAGAAGGACCACUUUGGAAGCUCCUGUGAUGUCUGGGUGAAGGAUGAUGAUAGGUUUGAACCAGGGCACUGGCAGUGGAGAUGGACGAGACCUUCAGGAAAAAUUCAGAAGAUCCACAGGUGGGAUCUGCUUGGCGGGAUGUGCGGAAGGGGGUGCAGGUGGGCUUUCAGGUGGAGACAGGAAGGGGCGCACAUCCGGGCACAGGCAGAAAGAGGAUGAGCUCAAGCCGGGCAUGCUGAAGGAGAGAUACGUGAACUGGGUCGUCAUGACCACACCCAAGGGGCGGUCAGAUGAGAAGAGCUCCGGGCUGGGGUGGAGCUCGAAGUGUGAGGGUGGGGCCUAGGUGAACAAAUUGGGGGGGGUGGUAUCCAGAAGGGGCAGAAGCCCAUCUUUUAGAGUCUAUAGAAGGAAGGCCCAGGAAGGAAUCCAAGAGGUCUUUGAGAACACAGGGGCUGGCUGGAGGCACAGGGUCUUAGUCAAAUGACUUAUGUUAUCACAGAACGCUCUUUGAUAAAAAGAGCCUUGAAUCUUAACACUGAAAAAAAAUUAAAGUGCUGCUGAAAUGUGUU